Molecule: ribosomal RNA, 1149 nt
Filed under: Planctomycetaceae bacterium
Lineage: Bacteria; Pseudomonadati; Planctomycetota; Planctomycetia; Planctomycetales; Planctomycetaceae
Description: partial 23S ribosomal RNA
Rfam family: Bacterial large subunit ribosomal RNA
Source: RNAcentral
GGCCAAUCUACUAAGAGCACACGGGGGAUGUCUUGGCAUCAAGAGACGAAGAAGGGCGUGGAAGUCUGCGAUAAUCCUGGGGAAGCUGACAAACAAGCAAUGAUCCCGGGGUACCCGAAUUGCACUUAGCUGAAUACAUAGGCUAUUUGCGAUAACCUGCUGAACUGAAACAUCUAAGUAAGCAGUGGAAAAUAAAGAAAAAUCGAUUCCGUCAGUAGCGGCGAGCGACAGCGGAACAGCCCAAACCGGGGGGGUUUCCCUCCCGGGGUUGUAGGGCCUCUCAUUGUGGAGUUACAAAUCGGCGAGUUAGCGGAACGGCUUGGAAAGGCCGGCCAUAGCGGGUGACAGCCCCGUACGCGAAAACUUUGUCGACUCCCGAGAGGUACCUGAGUAGGUCCAGUCACGUGAAACCUGGACUGAAUCUGCGGGGACCAUCCCGCAAGGCUAAAUACUCCUUGAUGACCGAUAGCGAACCAGUAGCGCGAGCGAAGGGUGAGAAGAACCCCGAUUAGGGGAGGAAUGUGAACCUGAAACCGUGUGCCUACAAGCGGUCGGAGCUCUAUGUUGCUUGCAACACGAGUGACGGCGUGCCUUUUGCAUAAUGAUCCGGCGAGUUGUGGUAUACGGCUUGGUUAAGAUCUUACGGAUCGAAGCCCAAGGGAAACCGAGUCUGAAUAGGGCGAAAUAUGGUCGUAUGCUGCAGACGCGAAACCUGAGUGAUCUACCCAUGAGCAGGUUGAAGCGCGGGUUAAACUGCGUGGAGGACCGAACCCACUUGGGUUGAAAACCGAGGGGAUGACUUGUGGGGAGGACUGAAAGUGUAAUCAAACCAGGAGAUAGCUCGUUCUCUCCGAAAUAUCUUGAGGGAUAGCGUCGAGCAACUAUUUACCGGGGGUAGAGAGACUGAAUCGGAUGGGGGCCCUUCCCGGGGUACCUCACUGAACCAAACUCCGAAUACCGGUGAAACUAUCUCGGCAGUCAGUCCCUGGGGGAUAAGCUCCAGGGUCGAGAGGGAAACAACCCAGAUCGCCUGCUAAGGUCCCGAAGAAAUACUUAGUCACUAAGGAAGUUGAAAUGCUAUGACAGCUGGGAUGUUGGCUUAGAAGCAGCCACCAUUUAAAAAGUGCGUAACAGCUUACCAGUCGAGCA